UAGAAGACCCACCAGAGCUCCUUGCCUUUCUCAGGGGACUCCCUCAAGGUGGUGAGUGCAGUUUCCCGAGGGCACUUGGUCUUCGGUGCUGAGAGCGACUUGGAGCAGAGUGUCCGGCGGAUACAGAAGUUGGGCAGCGCUCGCUGGGCAGUGAGGGACGCGCGGAGAUGUGCUUACUGGCUUGCACCCCAGAAGAGGCACCCCACCACCCCUUCUCACCUCUUUGUCCCCAAACGCCAGAACCAGCGCUGGGGACGGGGGUCGGAUGCCUCUCUGGAGAAGCACCGGGCCCCCGGAGUUACUGGCCAGAUGGGCGCGGCCACUAGAAUGGCCUGCUGAGUUCGGUGGGUACUUUGGGGUCCUGGGAGAACGGCAGACAGAAGACUCAAGCCCCGAGCGCUAACUCGGGAGAGUGUGAAUCCUGGAGCGGCCAAGCGGCCUCCAGGUUCACCGCUCCUGAGCGCUCCUGAGCACGUCACAGUGUCGGGCUGUACAGCAGAGGUAGGGCUGGGCACAAGCCGCAGGGCCUGCCUCACAAUGGUUAGGGUGCCCCGCAGGUACCAAGCAUACCUCCAAAAGUACUGAGUGGUAGCCAACUGCACACGCUUUGUCUCCCGACCAACCCCGACAUUUCAGACGGGAGCCACACGCACGAAUGAGCAGAUAUAGGCUUGGAGACCUAAAGGAAUAACGCAUUUCCAAAAGUCAGUCACGCUGCUCCAAGCUGGGAGGCAAGACCUGGGCUUGCCUGUGGCUCAGCCAGCCUUCAGAGCCUGCUGAUCCUUGGCAACACCAGAAGCAGGAGUUGGAGCAGAGUGCCGCAGCAGGGGCUCCUGAGGUGUCCAUUUCCUAUCUGGCUGACCUUGGGCAUAUCACCUAAACUCUGGGAGCCAUCAUUUUCACUUCUGAACAAAAGUUAGGGAUGAUUUAGUCGGGAUUAAAUAAUAUUUCAGAGCUGAGGACAGCAGACUCCGUGGGGCUCUGCACCUCUUUGUGUGAUUAAUCCCACCAUGACUCAACACCAAGGUUCCAGAGAACAGAUACUGCGCAGGGAGCCCUAGAGCCUCUCUCUGGUAAGACAAGAAUAGAGGGACAGAAGGGAAAGGGGAAGUAGUGCAUAGACAAAAGAGAAAACAGAGGGACUCAGAAUAUCACCAGGAAGACGUGGCGAACACAAGAAAUUUUGGCUUGAAGCUCUGUUUUUUUCAUAACUUACUAUGAGACCUUUGGCAAAUCCUCUCAGUCUUAGUUUUUCUUAAUCUCUAAGGUACCCUCCAGCCCUAACCUUGAGUGGUUUUGAUCCCAAAACCAGAUUUCAGGAUGCUAACUCAACUUCUUAAGUACAAAUGAUUAGACCAGAAGCUGUGGGUGGUGCUGGGAUUCAGGGUUACAGUUAGCAGCAGUUGUGGAAAGGCAGCAGUAGCUGGAAGGCUGUCCUCUUAGCCAGGGUCAAGCCUGAGCUAGAUUUUGAGGAUAGGGCAAUCAGUCAAGGGCCAAGAAAACGUGGACAAGGUGACUAUGCCAGGCAGUCAGGGAAAAGAUGGAGCUUCUCGUGACUUGCUGUCUGACUGAGGAGCUCCUUUCACCCCUCAGUUUUCCUUGCUGUCAAAUGGGAUCCCUAACACUCAGACACCUGUAGGAGGGACAGUCUGUGGGGCAGAUAAAGAGAUUUAAAUUGAAGGGCCAUGAGAUAGAUAAUGAUUAAAAAAAAAAAAAACCUUGAGAGAUUUAUCCUUUUGACAUGUCUUCAAAAACCAAUGUUAUCCAAACUGUCUUCCAGGUGCAGAUCUGUGAUAUACCUUGCUUUCUGGACCACCUUGACAAGUGAGCACCUCUUGUAUUGACCACCCUCCUUGCCCUGUUGAUGAAUGGGGAAACAAAAAGGACAGGUCAAGCAGAAGGUCACAGUCCCGCAGUCAUGGAGAAGAGAUGUGUUCUCCAGGCAGCCUCUCUUGGCAGCUGUAUAUGUAAGAGACUGACCAUGAACUUGGUCAGGAAUGUUAAUAGCUGUCAGGGAAAUGAAGGGUACGCUGGUGCCAAAGGUAGCACCACCUACUCACUGACCAGAUUCCACAGGGAGUUUGAUGUUGUAUUGUAAUCAGGACUGUCUGUAGGGGCACACCAAGUAAGUUUCUAUUGAAUUCUAGAAAACUUGACCACUUUACUUAAGUUAAACAAACAUUACCUUGAUAAACAUUUGUGACCAACUCUGAAAUGUUACUCAAAAAUUCCUCCUUUCUGCUCUUACUAAUUGGAGCCCCUGGAGGAAGGGCAGAGGAGAGAUUGGCAUCUUUUCUUAAGAUGCAAAUAUUCCUUAGAAGCCCAGAUUCCUUAAACUUCCAUUUUUUUUUGUUGUUGUUGUUAAGAUCGUGGGUGGAUAAGGUGAACCUGGAAGAAGGAGCUAGAGAUGAGUUACCCCUUAUUUCCACUGACUACACAGCAAUAAUUUUUUCAAUUGGGUUCUGAGAAACCUCUCUGGUGCCCAGAGGAGAGAGCAGGAAGGACUCAACCUUAACUCUCCUCAACUAGGGCAGUAUUGUAUUCAUUUCAUGUAGUGAGCUUCCAGGUACAAUUUCAUUAAGAAGAGAUUUUUCCCUUUGAAAUAAAAAGUUUGAAAGUCAUGGAAAUUUUCGCCUACUUUCAUACAUUUGGUGAGCAUCAUCUAUGGACCAGACACUACUCUUGGUACUGGAGAUAUGUUAAAGCAGCACUUAGCUCCCAGGUCAUCCCUCACAGAAGAUAGCAUUUCUUUUCCCCACACAUUCUUCUACUGGCUUCCCAUGUAAACUAGAUGCUCC
RNAcentral lists this long non-coding RNA (2798 nucleotides) under Marmota monax (woodchuck). The record is from RNAcentral. Lineage: Eukaryota; Metazoa; Chordata; Mammalia; Rodentia; Sciuridae.